RNAcentral lists this ribosomal RNA (462 nucleotides) under uncultured bacterium. RNAcentral describes it as "bacterial SSU rRNA". It matches the Rfam family "Bacterial small subunit ribosomal RNA", at positions 339 to 794 of the family's 1533-position model. The record is from RNAcentral.
UUACGGGAGGCAGCAGUGGGGAAUCUUGCGCAAUGGACGAAAGUCUGACGCAGCGACGCCGCGUGGGUGAUGAAGGCCUUCGGGUUGUAAAGCCCUGUGGGGGGAGACGAAUAAGUAGAAGCUAAUACCUUCUAUGAUGACGGUAUCUCCUUAGCAAGCACCGGCUAACUCUGUGCCAGCAGCCGCGGUAAGACAGAGGGUGCAAACGUUGUUCGGAAUUACUGGGCGUAAAGCGUGUGUAGGCGGCCACGUAAGUCGGAUGUGAAAGCCCCAGGCUCAACCUGGGAAGUGCACUCGAUACUGCGUGGCUUGAGUAUCGGAGAGGUUGGUGGAAUUCUCGGUGUAGAGGUGAAAUUCGUAGAUAUCGAGAAGAACACCGGUGGCGAAGGCGGCCAACUGGACGAAUACUGACGCUGAGACACGAAAGCGUGGGGAGCAAACAGGAUUAGAUACCCUGGUAGG